RNAcentral lists this ribosomal RNA (254 nucleotides) under uncultured prokaryote. RNAcentral's name for it is "partial 16S ribosomal RNA". It matches the Rfam family "Bacterial small subunit ribosomal RNA", at positions 524 to 776 of the family's 1533-position model. The record is from RNAcentral.
UACGUAGGGAGCAAGCGUUGUCCGGAUUUAUUGGGCGUAAAGAGCUCGUAGGCGGCUUAGAAAGUCAGGUGUGAAACCUCCAGGCUCAACCUGGAGACGCCACUUGAUACUUCUAUGGCUUGAGUUCGGUAGGGGUAGACGGAAUUCCUGGUGUAGCGGUGAAAUGCGCAGAUAUCAGGAGGAACACCGAUGGCGAAGGCAGUCUACUGGGCCGAUACUGACGCUGAGGAGCGAAAGCGUGGGGAGCGAACAGG